This 327-nucleotide ribosomal RNA is filed under the name SAR116 cluster bacterium. Its description in RNAcentral is "bacterial SSU rRNA". It matches the Rfam family "Bacterial small subunit ribosomal RNA", at positions 1 to 357 of the family's 1533-position model. Lineage: Bacteria; Pseudomonadati; Pseudomonadota; Alphaproteobacteria; Puniceispirillales (SeqCode). The record is from RNAcentral.
UAACCUAAGAGUUUGAUCCUGGCUCAGAACGAACGCUGGCGGCAUGCCUAACACAUGCAAGUCGAACGCUAUCUUGUAUAGAGUGGCGCACGGGUGAGUAACGCGUGGGAACCUGCCUUUCUCUGCGGGACAACGGUUGGAAACGACCGCUAAUACCGCAUACGCCCUACGGGGGAAAGGUCAGCCGGAGAAAGAGGGGCCCGCGUUAGAUUAGCUAGUUGGUGGGGUAAUGGCCUACCAAGGCGACGAUCUAUAGCUGGUCUGAGAGGAUGAUCAGCCACACUGGGACUGAGACACGGCCCAGACUCCUACGGGAGGCAGCAGUGG